This 292-nucleotide ribosomal RNA is filed under the name uncultured bacterium. RNAcentral's name for it is "partial 16S ribosomal RNA". The record is from RNAcentral. RNAcentral also lists the same sequence under 2 other names.
GGACUACCGGGGUUUCUAAUCCCGUUCGCUCCCCUGGCUUUCGUUCCUCAGCGUCAGAAAACCCCCAGUGAGCCGCCUUCGCCUCCGGUAUUCCUGAUGAUAUCAACGCAUUUCACCGCUCCACCAUCAGUUCUGCUCACCUCUAGGUUCCUCAAGCACAGUAGUUUAGGGCGCAAUUCCUCGGUUAAGCCGAGGGCUUUCACACCCUACUUUCUGCGCCGCCUACGAACUCUUUAAGCCCAGUAAUUCCGAAUAACGUUUGGGCCUCUCGUAUUACCGCGGCGGCUGGCAC